RNAcentral lists this ribosomal RNA (486 nucleotides) under uncultured bacterium. RNAcentral's name for it is "partial 16S ribosomal RNA". It matches the Rfam family "Bacterial small subunit ribosomal RNA", at positions 28 to 507 of the family's 1533-position model. The record is from RNAcentral.
GACGAACGCUGGCGGCGUGCUUAACACAUGCAAGUCGAACGCUGAAGACCUGGCUUUUGUUGGGUUGGAUGAGUGGCGAACGGGUGAGUAACACGUGAGUAACCUGCCCUCUUCUUUGGGAUAACGCCCGGAAACGGGUGCUAAUACUGGAUAUUCACUGGCCUUCGCAUGGGGGUUGGUGGAAAGGUUUGUUCUGGUGGGGGAUGGGCUCGCGGCCUAUCAGCUUGUUGGUGGGGUGAUGGCCUACCAAGGCUUUGACGGGUAGCCGGCCUGAGAGGGUGACCGGUCACAUUGGGACUGAGAUACGGCCCAGACUCCUACGGGAGGCAGCAGUGGGGAAUAUUGCACAAUGGGCGAAAGCCUGAUGCAGCGACGCCGCGUGAGGGAUGGAGGCCUUCGGGUUGUAAACCUCUUUCGCUCAUGGUCAAGCCGCAACUGUGGGUUGUGGUGAGGGUAGUGGGUAAAGAAGCGCCGGCUAACUACGAG